RNAcentral lists this ribosomal RNA (497 nucleotides) under uncultured bacterium. Its description in RNAcentral is "partial 16S ribosomal RNA". It matches the Rfam family "Bacterial small subunit ribosomal RNA", at positions 28 to 507 of the family's 1533-position model. The record is from RNAcentral.
GAUGAACGCUGGCGGCGUGCCUAAUACAUGCAAGUCGAGCGAACAGACGAGGAGCUUGCUCCUCUGACGUUAGCGGCGGACGGGUGAGUAACACGUGGAUAACCUACCUAUAAGACUGGGAUCACUUCGGGAAACCGGCGCUAAUACCGGAUAAUAUAUUGAACCGCAUGGUUCAAUAGUGAAAGACGGUUUUGCUGUCACUUAUAGAUGGAUCCGCGCCGCAUUAGCUAGUUGGUAAGGUAACGGCUUACCAAGGCAACGAUGCGUAGCCGACCUGAGAGGGUGAUCGGCCACACUGGAACUGAGACACGGGCCAGACUCCUACGGGAGGCAGCAGUAGGGAAUCUUCCGCAAUGGGCGAAAGCUUGACGGAGCAACGCCGCGUGAGUGAUGACGGUCUUCGGAUCGUAAAACUCGGUUAUUAGGGAAGAACAAAUGUGUAAGUAACUAUGCACGUCGUGACGGUACCUAAUCAGAAAGGCACGGCUAACUACGUG